UAGUCCACACCGUAAACGCUGUCUACUAGCUGUUUGUGUAUUAUAUACGUGAGUAGCGAAGCUAACGCGCUAAGUAGACCGCCUGGGGAGUACGGCCGCAAGGUUAAAACUCAAAUGAAUUGACGGGGGCCCGCACAAGCGGUGGAGCAUGUGGUUUAAUUCGAUGCAACGCGAAGAACCUUACCUACUCUUGACAUCCAGAAAAUUUGGCAGAGAUGCCUCAGUGCCUUCGGGAAUUCUGAGACAGGUGCUGCAUGGCUGUCGUCAGCUCGUGUCGUGAGAUGUUGGGUUAAGUCCCGCAACGAGCGCAACCCUUGUCCUUAGUUGCCAGCAUUUAGUUGGGCACUCUAAGGAGACUGCCGGUGACAAACCGGGAGGAAGGUGGGGGACGACGUCAAGUCAUCAUGGCCCUUACGGGGUUGGGGCUACACACGUGCUACAAUGGUGCAUACAGUGAGUUAAUCUCCAAAAUGCAUCUCAGUUCGGGAUUGGGGGUCUGGC
This 501-nucleotide ribosomal RNA is filed under the name uncultured bacterium. RNAcentral's name for it is "bacterial SSU rRNA". It matches the Rfam family "Bacterial small subunit ribosomal RNA", at positions 791 to 1309 of the family's 1533-position model. The record is from RNAcentral.